AGUGAACGCUGGCGGCGUGCCUAAUACAUGCAAGUCGAACGCGAAAGUCCUUCGGGAUGAGUAAAGUGGCGCACGGGUGAGUAAUACAUGGGAACAUGCCCUUGGAUGGGGAAUAACGUUUGGAAACGAACGCUAAUACCGCAUAAUCUCGCGAGAGUAAAGGUGGCGCCGCAAGGGCUACCGUCCAAGGAUUGGCCCAUGUCCCAUUAGCUAGUUGGCGGGGUAAUGGCCCACCAAGGCAACGAUGGGUAUGUGGUCUGAGAGGAUGAUCACACACUGGAACUGAGACACGGUCCAGACUCCUACGGGAGGCAGCAGUAGGGAAUAUUGCACAAUGGGGGAAACCCUGAUGCAGCAACGCCGCGUGAGUGAAGAAGGCCCUUGGGUUGUAAAGCUCUUUAGCGUGGGAAGAAGGUAGAUACGGUGAAUAAUCGUGUUUGCUGACGGUACCACGAGAAUAAGCACCGGCUAAUUUCGUGCCAGCCGCCGCGGUAA
RNAcentral lists this ribosomal RNA (495 nucleotides) under uncultured bacterium. Its description in RNAcentral is "partial 16S ribosomal RNA". It matches the Rfam family "Bacterial small subunit ribosomal RNA", at positions 29 to 523 of the family's 1533-position model. The record is from RNAcentral.